Molecule: ribosomal RNA, 490 nt
Filed under: uncultured bacterium
Lineage: Bacteria
Description: partial 16S ribosomal RNA
Rfam family: Bacterial small subunit ribosomal RNA
Source: RNAcentral
AUUGAACGCUGGCGGCAGGCCUAACACAUGCAAGUCGAACGGUAACAGGGAUCAGCUUGCUGAUUCGCUGACGAGUGGCGGACGGGUGAGUAAUGUCUGGGAAACUGCCUGAUGGAGGGGGAUAACUACUGGAAACGGUAGCUAAUACCGCAUAACGUCGCAAGACCAAAGAGGGGGACCUUCGGGCCUCUUGCCAUCGGCUGUGCCCAGAUGGGAUUAGCUAGUAGGUGGGGUAACGGCUCACCUAGGCGACGAUCCCUAGCUGGUCUGAGAGGAUGACCAGCCACACUGGAACUGAGACACGGUCCAGACUCCUACGGGAGGCAGCAGUGGGGAAUAUUGCACAAUGGGCGCAAGCCUGAUGCAGCCAUGCCGCGUGUAUGAAGAAGGCCUUCGGGUUGUAAAGUACUUUCAGCGGGGAGGAAGGGAGUAAAGUUAAUACCUUUGCUCAUUGACGUUACCCGCAGAAGAAGCACCGGCUAACUCCGUG